UGCGUCACACAUUAAACUAUAGAGACCGCUGUUUCUUCUUUAAACCAGAGGAAGGAUACGGCAAUAACAGGUCUGUGAUGCCCUCAGAUGUUCCGGGCUGCACACGUGCUACAAUGAUCAUUGCACUGUGCAUCUAACCCAAUGUGCGCGGACGCCMCGAUAUUAUAAUUGUCUUCGGGCAUUUUAUAUAUUCGCUUGUGCGACUGCGCCGAACCUACUUCGAAAGUAAAAUUUUUAAGUGGGUAAUCCAUUAGAAGUAAUGACUCGCAUAGACCAUGGCACACUAUAUGUACGCGCAGGUCUACCCGGCUCGCCUUUGUGUGAGUGCAGUGCGUAGCUUGUUGUUUCGUACGUGCCACUCCGUAUUAAUUCGUACGUGGGGAUAGAUCAUUGUUUAAUUGUUGGUCUCGGUCUUAACUAGGAAUGCCUUGUACGGGUCUUUGGUUCAACAUACCACCCGGAAUACGUCCCUGCCCUUUGUACACACCGCCCGUCGCUCUUACCGAUGGAUUAUACUAUGAAUCUAUAGGACUGCCAAAGCUUUGCGGCGUGUUCGCACACCGCGCUUAGUGGAAAUAUAUAUGAAUAGUGUGAUC
Molecule: ribosomal RNA, 596 nt
Filed under: Ammonia sp. T3S
Lineage: Eukaryota; Foraminifera; Rotaliida; Rotaliidae
Description: SSU rRNA
Rfam family: Eukaryotic small subunit ribosomal RNA
Source: RNAcentral